RNAcentral lists this ribosomal RNA (649 nucleotides) under uncultured bacterium. RNAcentral describes it as "bacterial SSU rRNA". It matches the Rfam family "Bacterial small subunit ribosomal RNA", at positions 79 to 748 of the family's 1533-position model. The record is from RNAcentral.
CUUGCUUUUCUUGAUUAGUGGCGCACGGGUGAGUAAUGCAUAGAUAAUAUGCCCCUUAGUUCGGGAUAGCCACUGGAAACGGUGAUUAAUACCGGAUACUCCUUCUUGUUAUAAGACAAGUCGGGAAAGUUUUUCGCUAAGGGAUCAGUCUGUGUUCCAUCAGCUUGUUGGUGAGGUAAUGGCUCACCAAGGCUAUGACGGAUAUCUGGUUUGAGAGGAUGAUCAGACACACUGGAACUGAGACACGGUCCAGACUCCUACGGGAGGCAGCAGUGAGGAACAUUGCACAAUGGAGGAAACUCUGAUGCAGCAACGCCGCGUGGAGGAUGACGCAUUUCGGUGUGUAAACUCCUUUUAUUAGGGAAGAUAAUGACGGUACCUAAUGAAUAAGCACCGGCUAACUCCGUGCCAGCAGCCGCGGUAAUACGGAGGGUGCAAGCGUUACUCGGAAUCACUGGGCGUAAAGGGUGCGUAGGCUGGCUUUUAAGUCAGAUGUGAAAUCCAAUGGCUCAACCAUUGAACUGCAUUUGAAACUGAAAGCCUAGAGUUCAGAAGGGGCAGAUGGAAUUAGUGGUGUAGGGGUAAAAUCCGUAGAUAUCACUAGGAAUAUCAAAAGCGAAGGCGAUCUGCUGGGAUGAUACUGACGCUG